CCUACGGGGGGCAGCAGUGGGGAAUAUUGGGCAAUGGAGGCAACUCUGACCCAGCAACGCCGCGUGAAUGAUGAAGGUCCUCGGAUUGUAAAGCUCUUUUCUAAGGGAAGAAGAAAGUGACGAUACCUUAGGAAUAAGCCUCGGCUAACUACGUGCCAGCAGCCGCGGUAAUACGGAGGAGGCAAGCGUUAUCCGGAAUGACUGGGCGUAAAGGGUGCAUUGGUGGUUUGGCAAGUUAGUAGCGCAACUCCGGGGCUCAACUUCGGAACUACUACUAAAACUGGUGGACUUGAGUGCGGGAGGGGUAAUCGGAAUGCGUGGUGUAGCGGUGAAAUGCGUAGAUAUUAGGAAGAACACCAGUGGCGAAGGCAGAUUGCUGGACUGUAACUGACGCUGAGGCACGAAAGCGUGGGGAGCGAACAGGAUUAGAUACCCGUGUAGUC
RNAcentral lists this ribosomal RNA (443 nucleotides) under uncultured bacterium. RNAcentral describes it as "partial 16S ribosomal RNA". It matches the Rfam family "Bacterial small subunit ribosomal RNA", at positions 338 to 795 of the family's 1533-position model. The record is from RNAcentral.